Molecule: ribosomal RNA, 505 nt
Filed under: uncultured bacterium
Lineage: Bacteria
Description: partial 16S ribosomal RNA
Rfam family: Bacterial small subunit ribosomal RNA
Source: RNAcentral
GACGAACGCUGGCGGCGUGCCUAAUACAUGCAAGUAGAACGCACAGUUUAUACCGUAGCUUGCUACACCAUAGACUGUGAGUUGCGAACGGGUGAGUAACGCGUAGGUAACCUGCCUGGUAGCGGGGGAUAACUAUUGGAAACGAUAGCUAAUACCGCAUAAUAUUAAUUAUUGCAUGAUAAUUAAUUGAAAGGUGCAAUUGCACCACUACCAGAUGGACCUGCGUUGUAUUAGCUAGUAGGUGAGGUAACGGCUCACCUAGGCGACGAUACAUAGCCGACCUGGGAGGGUGAUCGGCCAAACUGGGACUGAGACACGGCCCAGACUCCUACGGGAGGCAGCAGUAGGGAAUCUUCGGCAAUGGAAGAAAGUCUGACCGAGCAACGCCGCGUGAGUGAAGAAGGUUUUCGGAUCGUAAAGCUCUGUUGUAAGAGAAGAACGGGUGUGAGAGUGGAAAGUUCACACUGUGACGGUAUCUUAACAGAAAGGGACGGCUAACUACGUG